RNAcentral lists this ribosomal RNA (253 nucleotides) under uncultured bacterium. Its description in RNAcentral is "partial 16S ribosomal RNA". It matches the Rfam family "Bacterial small subunit ribosomal RNA", at positions 524 to 776 of the family's 1533-position model. The record is from RNAcentral.
UACGAAGGGGGCUAGCGUUGCUCGGAAUCACUGGGCGUAAAGCGCACGUAGGCGGAUUGUUAAGUCAGGGGUGAAAUCCUGGAGCUCAACUCCAGAACUGCCUUUGAUACUGGCGAUCUCGAGUCCGGGAGAGGUGAGUGGAACUGCGAGUGUAGAGGUGAAAUUCGUAGAUAUUCGCAAGAACACCAGUGGCGAAGGCGGCUCACUGGCCCGGUACUGACGCUGAGGAGCGAAAGCGUGGGUAGCAAACAGG